GCGGGGCUCCGUGUGGAAGCAGGACCAUGAGGACCCAACUGCAGGACUGAGGCCUUGAAAAUCCAUUAGGAAACCUAUUGUGGUUGGAAUUUCGCUGCUGUGUCGUCUCUGGGUUUGGUUUUGAGGAGAAGAGUAUCUAGCAGAGUGUAGCCAUCCUUCAACCUUCUGCUCCUCUCCUCAACUCUUCAUCAAUCAACAAACAGCUGGAACAGUGAUAAAUCGUGUGUUAACGCAGUGCCUUCAUACCUAGAAAAUGGGACUCCCAGCUACAGAUAAGAUAAUGCUCUCUAAACAGGGCUGCUAGUCCUGCAAUAAUCAGCUGCAUAGUCUUUGCCUUGUUUAUCAGCAACCAGAGUGCACUUGGGUUCUGUUGUUCCCCUCUUCUCUGUAGCUGCGAUGAACUAAUAAUGCUAUUGUCUUCCUUUAAUCACAUUCCCCUCUUUAUUACUUAGAAGUGCUAUGUCCUUCCUAGGAUUACUUGUGUAAGAAUGUAUAGGCUCAAUCACUGUUUCCAAUGAAAACAUCAAUCCAAACCCAAUGAAACCCAAAUAAAGCAUGGUUUUGAUUUUGA
Molecule: long non-coding RNA, 571 nt
Organism: Chelonia mydas (Green sea turtle)
Lineage: Eukaryota; Metazoa; Chordata; Testudines; Cheloniidae
Exons: 3
Source: RefSeq, a predicted model, not a curated record